ACCAGAGUCUCGUCAUUUAUAGCAGCACGGCUGUCCGCGCUCGUCUGAGUCACUUCGUGGGAACCGUUCACAGCACAAUAGCGGCGGAGCAUUGGCGCUCUGGGUGCCGUGGCUCGUGUUUGUGUUGGCGGAUCUGGCUGUGAUUAUUGGGGGAGUCAGACAGAACACAGCUAUGAGAUCUCCUCCAACCCUCACAUCCAUCACGACACACAGCGCUGGACAGAGACGGGGAAGGGGAAAACUCUCAACAAGGAUCAUAGUACAAUCGUGAUGUGUUUGGACGGUAACAUGUUGCACCCGUGAUCUUUCGAGAAUCGAGAGGUUCAGGCUAACGUUACCAUGACUGCCCGAUGAAUUAAUUCUGCUCUCCAGGACAUCAACACUGCUGAGGGUCAGACCCGCCAACAGAACUCCACCCUGGGCACGGUGAGAGCGGCGGACCCCUGGAGCCACACAAACACCAUCAGAUCCACCAGUCGGGCCCACAGCCCAAACACAGCCCGACUCUGACAGCAACGGCUCUGCUGGAACCGCAUGGUUUGGUUCUCCUUCUACAUUUGAUCAGGCCUCUGAAGAACAGCAGGCCCAGCGAGAGCCCAGAGCUCCCCCGUACGACCGUUGGUCCGUUGUUGGCCGGAACACGCGAUUUGCGACUGAUUACGACCAGAGACCCCGUUUGAUGGCAUCUGAAGCUAAAGCAAAAUCAGAAACAUUAUCUCAAGGAGGACUUUCUGUCGAAGAACCCCCUCUUACCCUGGAGAGAGAGAGAAGCCAAGAGAGAGAAGCCAAGAAAUGACUGACGGGAAAAAAAGAAGGGGAUCCUGUGGACAAACUUCUAAUUUAAUUCUGGCCACUCAUGCCUGUGAAACAGACACAUGAAGAAUCCCCAGAACAUAAAUAAUUUCACCUGUUUUGGCAUGACUGUGCCCCAGUGCACAAAGCAAGGUCCAUAAAGACAUGGUUGGAUGAUUUUGGUGGGGAAGAACUUGUCUGGCCCACACAGAGCCCUGACCUCAACCUCGCCGAACACCUUUGGGAUCAUCUGGAAUGGAAAUUGUGAGCCAGGCCUUCUCAUCCAACAUCAGAGAACUGACCUCACAAGUGCUCUACUGGAUGAAUGGACAAAACUUCCCACAGAAACGCUCCAAAAUCUUGUGGAAAGCCUUCCCAGAAAAGUGAAAUCAAUAAAAGGGGGAACAACUCCUUAUUAAUGUCUAUGUACUCAGAAUAAAAUGUCAUUAAAGUCCCUGUUGGCAUAAUAGUCAGGAGUCCCAUUACUAUUGCCAAGUGUAUUAUAAGGACCGAGAGACAGAAGUAAAUGGACUAAACAUAAUUAAUCUUCAGAACGUGAAGUAUUUUAUUUGGAGGCUGUGGAAGUUUUCUAUCUAGCAUUAUCUAAAAGUACAUUUACACAGUUCAUUUUGAGAAAAUGUCUGAAUAUGUUGCUUAUUCAACCCUAU
Long non-coding RNA from Pimephales promelas (fathead minnow), 1460 nucleotides. RefSeq lists it as uncharacterized. The record is from RefSeq and is a predicted model, not a curated record. NCBI's taxonomy places the organism in Eukaryota, Metazoa, Chordata, Actinopteri, Cypriniformes, Leuciscidae.